UACGUAGGGAGCAAGCGUUGUUCGGAUUUACUGGGCGUAAAGGGCGCGUAGGCGGCUAUUCAAGUCAUCUGUGAAAUCUCCGGGCUUAACUCGGAACGGUCAGAUGAUACUGCUUUGCUAGAGUGCAGAAGGGGCAAUCGGAAUUCUCGGUGUAGCGGUGAAAUGCGUAGAUAUCGAGAGGAACACCAGAGGUGAAGACGGGUUGCUGGGCUGACACUGACGCUGAGGCGCGAAAGCCAGGGGAGCAAACGGG
RNAcentral lists this ribosomal RNA (253 nucleotides) under uncultured bacterium. Its description in RNAcentral is "partial 16S ribosomal RNA". It matches the Rfam family "Bacterial small subunit ribosomal RNA", at positions 524 to 776 of the family's 1533-position model. The record is from RNAcentral.